GUGGGGAAUAUUGGACAAUGGGUGCAAGCCUGAUCCAGCAAUGCCGCGUGGGUGAAGAAGGUUUUCGGAUUGUAAAGCCCUUUUGGCGGGGACGAUGAUGACGGUACCUGCAGAAUAAGCCCCGGCUAACUUCGUGCCAGCAGCCGCGGUAAUACGAAGGGGGCUAGCGUUGCUCGGAAUGACUGGGCGUAAAGGGCGCGUAGGCGGCGAUCAAAGUCAGGCGUGAAAUUCCUGGGCUCAACCUGGGGGCUGCGCUUGAUACUUGGUUGCUUGAGUGGGGAAGAGGGUCGUGGAAUUCCCAGUGUAGAGGUGAAAUUCGUAGAUAUUGGGAAGAACACCGGUGGCGAAGGCGGCGACCUGGUCCUUGACUGACGCUGAGGCGCGAAAGCGUGGGGAGCAAACAGGAUUAGAUACCCUGGUAGUCCACGCCGUAAACGAUGUCGAUUUGGAGGUUGUGCCCUUGAGGCGUGGCUUCCGGAGCUAACGCGUUAAAUCGACCGCCUGGGGAGUACGGCCGCAAGGUUAAAACUCAAAUGAAUUGACGGGGGCCCGCACAAGCGGUGGAGCAUGUGGUUUAAUUCGAUGCAACGCGAAGAACCUUACCUACUCUUGACAUCCACGGAACUUGCCAGAGAUGGCUUAGUGCCUUCGGGAACCGUGAGACAGGUGCUGCAUGGCUGUCGUCAGCUCGUGUUGUGAAAUGUUGGGUUAAGUCCCGCAACGAGCGCAACCCUUAUCCUUUGUUGCCAGCACGUAAUGGUGGGAACUCAAAGGAGACUGCCGGUGAUAAACCGGAGGAAGGUGGGGAUGACGUCAAGUCAUCAUGGCCCUUACGAGUAGGGCUACACACGUGCUACAAUGGCGUAUACAAAGAGAAGCGACCUCGCGAGAGUCAGCGGACCUCAUAAAGUACGUCGUAGUCCGGAUUGGAGUCUGCAACUCGACUCCAUGAAGUCGGAAUCGCUAGUAAUCGUAGAUCAGAAUGCUACGGUGAAUACGUUCCCGGGCCUUGUACACACCGCCC
RNAcentral lists this ribosomal RNA (1024 nucleotides) under uncultured Acidisoma sp. RNAcentral describes it as "bacterial SSU rRNA". It matches the Rfam family "Bacterial small subunit ribosomal RNA", at positions 354 to 1395 of the family's 1533-position model. The record is from RNAcentral. Lineage: Bacteria; Pseudomonadati; Pseudomonadota; Alphaproteobacteria; Acetobacterales; Acidocellaceae.